This 307-nucleotide small RNA is filed under the name Cavia porcellus (domestic guinea pig). Its description in RNAcentral is "Vertebrate telomerase RNA (ENSCPOG00000029595.2)". Lineage: Eukaryota; Metazoa; Chordata; Mammalia; Rodentia; Caviidae. The record is from RNAcentral.
AAAGCUUUGUUUGGUGUCAUGUUUUCAUAAAGAUAAAGAUGAUCUUUUAGUAUUCCUGUAUACUUAGGAUACUUGAUAAUGAUGCUGCUGUUUUUCAUUAUGUCCUUCAUUACAUCCAUGUUUCUGUUUUUCUAGAAGAGACUCUGUUUUUCAUAUAGCAAGUUAACACAAUUCUUAAUCUUUAAACUACAAAUGGGGGCCGCGGGCGAGUCCCAGGCCUUGGCCGCAGGGAGAGAAACGGAGCAGGUCCUCGCGCGGUGCACUUCCCUGAGCUGUGGGAAGUGCACCAGGACGGGCUCCUACAAGC